This 497-nucleotide ribosomal RNA is filed under the name uncultured bacterium. RNAcentral describes it as "partial 16S ribosomal RNA". It matches the Rfam family "Bacterial small subunit ribosomal RNA", at positions 28 to 507 of the family's 1533-position model. The record is from RNAcentral.
GAUGAACGCUGGCGGCGUGCCUAAUACAUGCAAGUCGAGCGAACGGACGAGAAGCUUGCUUCUCUGAUGUUAGCGGCGGACGGGUGAGUAACACGUGGAUAACCUACCUAUAAGACUGGGAUAACUUCGGGAAACCGUAGCUAAUACCGGAUAAUAUUUUGAACCGCAUUGUUCAAAAGUGAAAGACGGUCUUUCUGUCACUUAUAGAUGGAUCCGCGCUGCAUUAGCUAGUUGGUAAGGUAACGGCUUACCAAGGCGACGAUGCAUAGCCGACCUGAGAGGGUGAUAGGCCACACUGGAAGUGAGACACGGUCCAGACUACUACGGGAGGCAGCAGUAGGGAAUCUUCCGCAAUGGGCGAAAGCCUGACGGAGCAACGCCGCGUGAGUGAUGAAGGUCUUCGGAUCGUAAAACUCUGUUAUUAGGGAAGAACAUAUGUGGAAGUAACUGUGCACAUCUUGACGGUACCUAAUCAGAAAGCCACGGCUAACUACGUG